UUUCAUUUUUCUUCUAAAAUAGAGUUCUGUUUGGAAUCGUGCUAAACAUUACGCAUGCAGUCAGUCCGAACCUAGCGAGUUGAGAAAAAAUCGGAGAGUAAUCGGAGAUUAAUCGAGGAUUAGUUUUAAUUGAUUUUAGGAUAUAUACUACUUCGUGUAGAACAAUCAACGAAUUCUAUGUAGCAUAGUGGUUAGUGCACUUUGUUUACAGGUAGAGGAUAAAGGUUCAACCCUUGAUAGAGUGUUUUUCCCCCUUUUUUCAUUUUUUUCUUAAAUGAUGGUGAAUUACCUAAAUUGCCCUCAUCUUCUUCUUCACCAUACACGACCUGCAACCCUAAUUUCCGCCCCUCUCCACUGAUUUCAUGUUUCAUCACCAUUUAAACUCUUUUUCUUGUGUUUUUGAUCAAUUGCAAUAGAUUUUUAACAAUAUAUAUAAGAAUUUUAACACCACAAUUUUUUUUUUUUAAUUUUUUCUUCCGAAAACCCGAGUUAUUGAGCGAAUAGAUCCAAAUCGCCACGGUCCAUGGCCGAGUCACGUUUCAGCGCCGAUUAAACGUCCAACUCGCCCGCGUUUUAGAACAGGAAAAUAGAGUAAAAGUGAAAAUGUAGUAACUCUACUUCAUUUCCCACUUUAUAAUGGAGUGAUGAACGAACAAAAAAUAGAUUACUUCAUCUAAUAUAUUAAAAUAGAAGUCAUGGCUUCUUUUCAUGUGUGAUUUUUUUUAAUUUGGGCCAUUCCUAGAAAAUAUCAUAUUUUACAUAAGUUCAUUAUUAUAUCUUUUAAUAUCUUUAUCUUUUUAUUUGAAAUACAAAUGAAUAUAUUUAAAAUGUUGUAACAAAAUCUUUUUAAAAUCUUCUUAAAAUAUUUUUAAAUUUGUUUUCGAAAAUUAGUUAGUUUAAUUUAAAUUAUCAUAAAAUAUAAUUAGAAAUUAAAAUUGAAUACAGUUUUGGUUUAUAAACGAAAAUUUAAAUAAAAUGAAAUUAAUUAAUUUCAAAAAUAAAUUUACUAAUAAUUUUUAAAGAUUUUGUUAGAAAUAAAUAUUUAUUUCUAUUUUAACUUUUUUCAAAUUUGUUUUCUAAUAA
This 1083-nucleotide long non-coding RNA is filed under the name Brassica rapa (field mustard). RNAcentral's name for it is "long non-coding RNA (BRAP_LNC006464)". Lineage: Eukaryota; Viridiplantae; Streptophyta; Magnoliopsida; Brassicales; Brassicaceae. The record is from RNAcentral.